Molecule: ribosomal RNA, 275 nt
Filed under: uncultured prokaryote
Description: partial 16S ribosomal RNA
Rfam family: Bacterial small subunit ribosomal RNA
Source: RNAcentral
UACGGAGGAUCCGAGCGUUAUCCGGAUUUAUUGGGUUUAAAGGGUGCGCAGGCGGGGGAUUAAGUCGGCGGUGAAAUUUUGCAGCUCAACUGUAAAAGUGCCUUCGAAACUGGUUUCCUUGAGUGUAGAUGAAGUAGGCGGAAUUUGUGGUGUAGCGGUGAAAUGCAUAGAUAUCACGAGGAACUCCGAUUGCGCAGGCAGCUUACUAAACUACUACUGACGCUCAGGCACGAAGGCGUGGGGAUCAAACAGGAUUAGAUACCCGUGUAGUCCCU